UGUCAAGGCAUUGAAAAAUAGGUCACGGGUUCUUUGGAAAACUGGUAUGGGAUGGGAAGAAAAUUGAGACGUCAAAUAUAAUUAGGUCAUCUUAAUGCAAUAUUAUAGUGUCAUUUCUUUGUGAUGUUCCUGUAUGUGUGAAGUGCUGAAAGUAUGCAAAUGUUUAAGUUGUUCAAAUUUGACAAUCAGAUACAUGAAACUAUUAAGGUUUGUGGUUAGGAUUAUUUUGUUCAUUGAUUCACUGGGGGGCUUGUGUGUAUGUUGUCUAUGGAGAAGAAGAAAAGAGUCUGAAUAAUUGGCACAAAAUGUUUUACAAAAAAUCAAAUCAGCAAUGCAUUAGUGUCUAUACAUGCAAGGAGAUAUCAUCCUGAUGUAGUGCGUUGUCACUUGAGUUAUACUGUCGCUCUCCUGCUGCAUAUGAGCACAUACGCAGCAAAGCUCUAGGGUUGCCAUCAAUAUCAAUUAUAAAAAGUUACAGAUACAGAUUUAACUUAUUGCGCCAUUCUAACAUUUACUAUAACGAAUAGUUUAACAAGAGAGCCUAGCUCUAAUGGAUGAGUACGUAUGAUUUAAACAUUAAGAUAGAUGAUAUCAGUUAAAGAAGCACCGAGUGGUCUCACUGCCGCUAUUGUGAGUCCAAAAUCAAGCAAACACACCGACGUUUCAAUGUGUUUGGACAAUUAUGUUUUGUUGCAAGCGUAAAAUAGUUAAACAUACUGUUUAUGUUUUGUUGCAAACGUAAAAUAGCUUAUAUAUACCCUGUCAAACAUCUAAAAAUAUAAAAUAACCCAUUGGGUUUAAACGAACUUGUUAAGUUUUAUUUGCGUUUUCCUGUUGUGGGAAGGUAUAAAAUAGCUUGUAUUAUUCUUUUAAUACAUUUUUUUGCGAAAUAAUAUAAUACUUACCCCUAUUAAAUAACUAAAAUUUCACGCUUCUAGAUCUUGUUUUUGAUUUUUUUCAAAACAGAAAACAAAUUACCGAUGUGUUUUAGACUUUCAAACUUUUAGGUUAGUUUUUAAGUCCAAGCUUUACCUCAAUUUACUUUUUACGUAACAUUCUAUUGGCUGUGGGAGAUUUUUUCUAUUAGGAUGUCGCAAAAA
Molecule: non-coding RNA, 1100 nt
Organism: Ciona intestinalis (vase tunicate)
Lineage: Eukaryota; Metazoa; Chordata; Ascidiacea; Phlebobranchia; Cionidae
Source: RefSeq, a predicted model, not a curated record